GCCGAAGUGGCGGAAUUGGUAGACGCGCACGAUUCAGGGUCGUGUGUCCGCGAGGACGUGUGGGUUCAAGUCCCACCUUCGGCACCA
RNAcentral lists this transfer RNA (87 nucleotides) under Deinococcota bacterium. Its description in RNAcentral is "tRNA-Leu". It matches the Rfam family "tRNA". Rfam says of the family: Transfer RNA (tRNA) molecules are approximately 80 nucleotides in length. RNAcentral also lists the same sequence under 1 other name. Lineage: Bacteria; Thermotogati; Deinococcota. The record is from RNAcentral.